GAGGGCGGAGUAGUAGUACUCUUUCUCCUCAUAGAUCUCCGAGAGCUUCUUCUCCGCCGCGGUGACGGAGAAAGCCAGAAGUGUUGAUAGAAGUACGGUGAGCUUGUUCAUUGGCCUGCCUUAAAAAGAGAAUCCGACGCUGAAGAUGAUAU
This 152-nucleotide unclassified non-coding RNA is filed under the name plant metagenome. RNAcentral describes it as "partial contains 5.8S ribosomal RNA, internal transcribed spacer 2, and large subunit ribosomal RNA". The record is from RNAcentral.